This is a long non-coding RNA of Macrosteles quadrilineatus (aster leafhopper), 439 nucleotides long. RefSeq lists it as uncharacterized. The record is from RefSeq and is a predicted model, not a curated record. The transcript has 3 exons. NCBI's taxonomy places the organism in Eukaryota, Metazoa, Arthropoda, Insecta, Hemiptera, Cicadellidae.
GAGAGUUUUAAUGUGUAGUUAUGAGUCAUUUAUUGUUUAUUUUGUUGGUAGUACACGGAUUUACUCAUUGCAAAACUGGUCCAGUUUUAGACGAUAAAGUCGCCUCAGCUUCAAUAAAUAAUACAAGGUCCACAAACAUAACCGAUCCAUUGAAUAGGACUGCUGAAAAUAAAAGUAAAGGUGAAGACUCAAAUUUGGACUUCAAGAAUGCCAAUGCCACAUUAACCCCAAAGCACAGCAUACUAUACAAUCAUUUUAAAGAAUUUCUGAAUUUCCAAAAGGAACUGUGGCUGAACUGGGAAUUUUACCUAAUUGAUUUAGCUUUUAUCAGUUGGGGAUGGUUGAUAUACACAUUUUUGUAUGAGCUAUGACUGAGUUUUUCAUCUAAUUAUCCAAGGUACCCUUUAUAUUCUGAAGUAAAAUAGAUUGUACAAGUGUA